RNAcentral lists this long non-coding RNA (4382 nucleotides) under Homo sapiens (human). Its description in RNAcentral is "HSALNT0265575". Lineage: Eukaryota; Metazoa; Chordata; Mammalia; Primates; Hominidae. The record is from RNAcentral.
CGUCCUUGUUUGUUACAUGGGUAUUACAGGUGUAAUGGUGGAGGUUUGGUUUCUAGUGUAUCCAUUAACCAAAUAUUGAACAUUGUACCCAAAAGGUAAUUUUUCAACCCCCACUUCCUUCCCAGCCUCUCCACUUUUGGAGUCCUCAUAGUUUUAUCUCUCCAUUUCUAUGUCCAUGUGUACCCAUUCUUUAGCUCCCAUUUAUAAGUAAGAAUAUGCGAUAUUCUGCUUCUGAAUUAGUUCACUUAGUGAGCAAAGCUGGAUGGCCUCCAGCUGCAUCCAUGUUGCUACACAGGACAUGAUUCAAUUCUUUGUUAUGGCUGCAUAGCAUUGCGUAUUCUAUAUGUACAACAUUUUCUUUGUCCAGUUAACUGUUCAUCGACCCUAUUUUGUUAGCAUUCCUCCCUUCUCUGUCUCCUUCCUCCACUCCCUCAGGGUGCUCCUGGGUCACCUUUCAAGUAUAUUCCCUGCCCCCAGUGCUAGCCUCAGGCUUCACUCUUUGGGAACACACUAAGACCACAGUGCAUUUGACUAUGAGUGAGGAUGAUCUUCCUACAUUUUCUAUGUGGCAAAGGCAAAUGGAAGCUUGAGGACAAAGGCAGAUCUCUGAGUUAAAAGGACACCUACAAGUCCUUCUCUGUGAGCUCAUCUUAGGGCAGAGCAGACUCAGAGAUGGGGAAGAGCCUCCAUUUACAUCCUGGCUGCUCCCAUUCCAUCACUUCCAUCACUCUGGAAUCUGUAGGGAAGCAGGCCAGUCCUCUGCCCUGAGGCUGAGGCAGGGGCGGUCCGGGCAGAACAGUUGCCAAGUUUCCGCCUCUGCAAGGCACACCAUGGUGAACAAAAAUGCCAAAUCCUCCUCCAGAUCCCCAGAAAGAGCCAGCUCUCCUGUUUGUCUCUCGUGGACUGCUGUGACCUGUGACCAGGACACUUGGAGGCAGCUUUUAACAACUCAGACCAGAUGAGUGAGCACAUUCUCACACAUGUCCCAUAUUUCCCAAGUCAGUAACCAGCCCCUUGCAGAAGGCUGGUGAUGCUUUACACCUUGGGGUCCUUCAGAGAAAUGGGUUUGUCGUACAGCGUAUCCUUUUCAACAUGGAUAAGCAUUUUAUUGUGCAUUAAUUCUAAUGUAACGUUAAUUGGAAAUAAUCCUUCUGGUGAGAAGAGCAUAAUUCUGCUGGCUUCUGGAGACUGGAAGAAGCUUUAGGACCCUCAAGGAGGAAGCCCUGUGGGAGGAGGAAGUGGCCAUCAUGAGCUUCAGCGAAGACGGCUCUGCAGGUUGCAUUGAACUUGCGGACAAGUCUCCACCCGACUACCCCAACCUGGCAAUUAUGAUCUGCUUAUCAGGGGAGCAGUGACUUGACAGUCUGUCUCAGUUUACUUGUCUAUAAAAUGGUUAUGAAUAAUCAUAUUGGCCUCAUAGGGUUAUAGUGAGAAUUAUAGCCACUGGCAGAGAGCACCCAGCCAGCCCCAUUCCUGGAGAAAAGCAGAAGUUUAGUUCUUGGAAAAGUUGCAUAUAGAUUCUUAAAGAAAUGAUGUCACAGGGACUUCCUUGCUAUCCCUAAAAACCAGGGACCUGUUUUUAAGUCAGUGACCCAGCCUGCUACAGUGGAAUCCCAGUUUUAGGAUAAUGUGAGGUCAGCUUUCCUCACUCCAUUGCAUGCCAGGGCCCACCCUUGGGUUUUAGGCUUGAAAAAGUUAUAGUUACCAAUAUCCUCCUUCAGUGACUUUCCAUGGCUUGGAGAAGACAGUCCAGAUCCCCAUCCUGCAGCAUAAGGGCCCUGUGUGACCUGCCACCACUCAGUCAUCUGCAGAAGGCUGGUGCCUGUGCACUCUAUGUUCUGCUGAUCGAGGUGCCCUCACCUUUCCCAACACAUCAUGUGGGGACACGCCCUAUCUGUGUGCACAGGGAAUGCUGUGGAAUGUAUGUAGAGCACCCUCCCUCAUCUCCUUGGAAUGCUUCUAUCAUCUCUCAAGAUGCAAUUCACCUUGUCUGGGAAACCCUUUUGAAUCCCGCAGCAGUUAUCUGCUCACUCCUCUGACCUGUGCACACACCUCUGAGAUUGUACCAUGCACUGUGUGGGAGCAGUCUUCUCCUAGCAUUCUUCUCUAAUAGGGAACUCUGCCUUCCCACCUUCUAUACCUGGCACACGGACAGUGCUAUAAAUGUUGGUUGAAUAUAGAAAUUGGUAGGAGGAGAUCUGGAGUCAGGGCUCAGUGCUCCUGGGGAUGGCUCAACUCCUGUUCUCAGGCAGAAUGAAAUCCCUAGCAAACUGCAGAGCAACCAAGGAGAAAACCUAUCUCAGAAGUUAGCGCCCCCAACACACUGAAGUCUUGGAUCAAGCAUUUACCCACCUGCUAGAGAUCAGUGGCUCUGGAGGAAGCAGCACGUAGACCUUUGUUCCUGGGCAACACUAACCCGCGGCAUACCUGAGGAAAUGUGAACCUGUUAUCUGCUAGUUUUUGAGAUCCCCUUUACCUCCACCUGGUGGGGAACGAGGCAUCCCCUGCUGUCUGUUUUUUGCCCUCUUGAUACCUGGAUUCUUCUACCAGAAUUAAAUGUCUAGGAUUUCAGUAGAGACUUUUCAAGGGGCUGAGACCUUCUGAGCCUGAAGAGUGUUAUUCCUCUCUCUUGCUCUCAGCAGCUUGAUUUGUAGGUCAGUCUACCAUUUACUCUCCCACAAGGACUGGGGUAUAUUGUAUUAUUGUCCUUGUUCUUCACCCUCUAUGGCCUUCGCCAUGUGACUUUGAUGUACUUCCCACUUGAAUUGGGGCAUAUUUCCCAUACUUCUUGCCAUUGGGUGUAGUUAUAUGACUUGCUUGGGACAAUAGAAUGAGGUAUUUCUACUCUCCUCCCUGAACCUUUGCCAUGGCCAUGAGAACAUGCCAGCCUAGCUGCUGAUCCCAGGAGAAAGGUGAGAGACAUGUUGGGCAGAGCCAAGCCCCUAGACAGCCCAGCCUAGAUUAGCUGACUCUCAGUUAGCAGAGACCCUUGAGAAAUAACUGAUGACUGUUGUUAUAAGCCUUUGGAGUGGUUUGUUACAUGGCAUCAUUGAAGUGAUAGUUAACCAACUAAUAUUUAAAGAAAUUUUGGUCAUAAUAAUCUGAUGCCCAGUACACUGCCCUGUCCCCUUGGCAUGGGAAGCUCAUACCAAGAACAUCAACUUUGGCACACACACACAGCCCCCUCCCUAUGACAAAAUUGGAUAGCACAUGCUCCAGGGUUGUCUUCGUAAAAGACGUGUGUCCCUGUGAGAUGGAGUAACACUGACAACAGGAACUGAAGUGUUUCCAUCAACUUCUAAUUUCCAUUUCCCCUCCUCCCGCUCUCUCCCCUCUACAAGAGUCUAUAGUCUCCUGGUGAUGAACAACAACAACAACAUUCCUCAAAGAAACCUUUGUUUAACUCUCAACACAUCUGUUCUUCAUUUAUAGGAAUAAUGGCUAACAACAUUAGAGAGUUUACAUCUAUGUCCAGUACUGUGCACUUUUAUAAAUGAUUGUUCAUUAUUUGUAGAAUCCCUGUAAUGCUGGUGCUAAGUAAAGGUGACACUUUAAGUUCACCACAAUGUCUGCUCUGAGAGCAGAAAAUAAUGUCUUCAAGGCCACAUGUAGAUCCUUCAUCCGCAGUGCACUUACCCUGGUGUGGUGCUUUCUUUAAGAAACACUCUGAUUGGCCAAAGAAAUGCACAGUCCACAGUUCAGCUCUAGGAGCUUUGUAGUAUGGAUGGAGUGCAGGGUGAUAGUCCUCCACUUCUUUUCUGUAACCAAAAGAACAGGAUUUUUCUAAGUAGAUAUUUGGCAUAGAUGAUGGCAUCUUUUUUUCUACAAACAGAUUUUUACAACUUUUUCUCUUGUCUAGUUUUCAAAAGUAUUUGUAUACUCAUUCUUGAUUAAAAGUAAACUCUCAGAAAAUUAGGAAUAGAGGGGAACUUUCUCAACCCAAUAAAGAAUAUCUACCAAAACACUUCGUUGACAUUGUAUUUAAUGGUGAGACCCUAGAAUCUUUUCCAGUAAAAUAAGGAAGAAAGCAAGGAUGCUCCCUCUAACCACUCCUCUUCAGCAUCACACUGAAAUUCUUAGCUAAUGCAAUAAAACAAGCAAUAAAAGUGUACUGAUGAGGAAGGAAGAAAUAAAAUUGUCUUUGUUUUCAGAUGACGUAAUUGUCUAUUUAGAAAAUUCUCCCCCAAACAAAACAAAAAAAUUCUGGAUACUAAUACAUGAUUACACCAAGGUUGCAGGAUACAAGGCUGAUGUGUAAAAGUAAAUUGCAUUUUUUUUUUAACAAUAAGAAAGUUUAUUAAAAUCAGGUGAGUUCCAACAAAGGGUGGCUCUGGCUUACAUAGUACAUCAGUUCCAUGAUGGCUUCUUAUACUGAGGUUUUG